GACGAACGCUGGCGGCGUGCUUAACACAUGCAAGUCGAACGGAAAGGCCCUGCUUUUGUGGGGUGCUCGAGUGGCGAACGGGUGAGUAACACGUGAGUAACCUGCCCUUGACUUUGGGAUAACUUCAGGAAACUGGGGCUAAUACCGGAUAGGAGCUCCUGCUGCAUGGUGGGGGUUGGAAAGUUUCGGCGGUUGGGGAUGGACUCGCGGCUUAUCAGCUUGUUGGUGGGGUAGUGGCUUACCAAGGCUUUGACGGGUAGCCGGCCUGAGAGGGUGACCGGCCACAUUGGGACAGAAGUACGGCCCAAAACCCUAAGGGAGGCAGGAGGGGGGAAUAUUGCACAAUGGGCGGAAGCCUGAUGCAGCAACGCCGCGUGCGGGAUGACGGCCUUCGGGUUGUAAACCGCUUUCGCCUGUGACGAAGCGUGAGUGACGGUAAUGGGUAAAGAAGCACCGGCUAACUACGUG
RNAcentral lists this ribosomal RNA (468 nucleotides) under uncultured bacterium. RNAcentral describes it as "partial 16S ribosomal RNA". It matches the Rfam family "Bacterial small subunit ribosomal RNA", at positions 28 to 507 of the family's 1533-position model. The record is from RNAcentral.